This 1311-nucleotide long non-coding RNA is filed under the name Gallus gallus (chicken). Lineage: Eukaryota; Metazoa; Chordata; Aves; Galliformes; Phasianidae. The record is from RNAcentral.
UUUAUUUCUAACAUCCAGCACACGUACUGGGUGAGCCUCUGUACAUAAAGCCGUGCGGGUGCUGACAGUUACAGAAACACCACAAGACCACGCACAAGCAGCAGCUUCUGAUUUACAAAUGAUGUCUUCUAGCCCCCACAAGACCCGACAUACCAGGCAGCACGGCUAGACAGGCAGUUCUAAUUGGUGUAAUCCCAGGCAAGGUCUCUGCCCUGUCACCAGCACUAUUCUCCUGGGCUACUCCUGCACGUGGUGACUGCGGUGGGAAGGGCGCAGCCGCUGCACUGGGCAUCCUCAGCCCUCAGUUCUUCUGGUAAUAGAACCACCUGUCAACUUCAGGUGGGAUUGGGUUGGCAGCUUUACACGGUGGUGCUGCAUCCACAGUAGCUUUCGCACACUCUUGACUACAGCAGAAGGGGCUGCCCGAGACCGUCAGAUUUGUGCAGCUGAUCUCUCCUCCGUCAGUUUUUUUAGCUAUCAAAGCUUUCCAGUGUUCGUGCGUGCUUUUGAUAACGUUCACUGCAAAAUCCUUAUCUUUAAAUUCCCCAUUAAAAGCAAACUGGUUUUCCGGCUUUCCAUCAGGUACUUUGUAUCUUCUAAACCAGUCCACCGUAGCUUCUAAGUAUCCAGGCUUCAUCCUUCUGACAUCGUUGAUAUCGUUAUAGUUUUCUGCUUCAGGGUCUUCAACGUUGAUAGCAAUUAUCUUCCAGUCUGUUUCUCCCUCAUCAAUCAGUGCCAGCGUGCCCAGCACCUUCACCUUGAUCACUUCUCCUCGCGAGCAGACCUUGCUUCCAAUUUCACACACAUCAAUUGGAUCAUUGUCUCCACAGCAGCCAGUGUUUUCAUCCUUAUGGCCUGGGUCCUCCCAAGUCUGUGGGAUAGCACCGUAAUUCCAGAUGUAACCCUUGUGGGGAAACACAUUAGCUACGUAGCGCAGUUUUCCCUUCUUCACAUCUUGCUUAAUUGGGUUUAAGGGAUCCUUUGUCGCAAUCUCCAUUUUAGCAUUGGUCCAUCGAGGCACUUCCACGACCAUGUUGAAUACAUUCUUGCCGGCGUCCGCGUACAGCGGGAUGUCGUGGAAGGGGGAGAUGUACCGCCCGGCCGCGUCCUUGAAAAACAGGCGGUACUCCAGGCUGUUAGGCGCAGCACGCUCCUCCACGCUGUACCCCGCCAUUGCACCACGCUCCCCGCCGCCCGCUCGGCUCACUGCGCAGGCGCCGCUGCCCGCACCCCCCGACGGCCCAUACCCACGCCCCCGCGUCUAGCUCCGCCCCUAUGACACAUAGCCACGCCUAUCUGCGCCAAUCCCCG